This 734-nucleotide ribosomal RNA is filed under the name Streptococcus pneumoniae. RNAcentral's name for it is "bacterial SSU rRNA". It matches the Rfam family "Bacterial small subunit ribosomal RNA", at positions 35 to 754 of the family's 1533-position model. The record is from RNAcentral. Lineage: Bacteria; Bacillati; Bacillota; Bacilli; Lactobacillales; Streptococcaceae.
GCUGGCGGCGUGCCUAAUACAUGCAAGUAGAACGCUGAAGGAGGAGCUUGCUCCUCUGGAUGAGUUGCGAACGGGUGAGUAACGCGUAGGUAACCUGCCUGGUAGCGGGGGAUAACUAUUGGAAACGAUAGCUAAUACCGCAUAAGAGUAGAUGUUGCAUGACAUUUGCUUAAAAGGUGCAAUUGCAUCACUACCAGAUGGACCUGCGUUGUAUUAGCUAGUUGGUGGGGUAACGGCUCACCAAGGCGACGAUACAUAGCCGACCUGAGAGGGUGAUCGGCCACACUGGGACUGAGACACGGCCCAGACUCCUACGGGAGGCAGCAGUAGGGAAUCUUCGGCAAUGGACGGAAGUCUGACCGAGCAACGCCGCGUGAGUGAAGAAGGUUUUCGGAUCGUAAAGCUCUGUUGUAAGAGAAGAACGAGUGUGAGAGUGGAAAGUUCACACUGUGACGGUAUCUUACCAGAAAGGGACGGCUAACUACGUGCCAGCAGCCGCGGUAAUACGUAGGUCCCGAGCGUUGUCCGGAUUUAUUGGGCGUAAAGCGAGCGCAGGCGGUUAGAUAAGUCUGAAGUUAAAGGCUGUGGCUUAACCAUAGUACGCUUUGGAAACUGUUUAACUUGAGUGCAAGAGGGGAGAGUGGAAUUCCAUGUGUAGCGGUGAAAUGCGUAGAUAUAUGGAGGAACACCGGUGGCGAAAGCGGCUCUCUGGCUUGUAACUGACGCUGAGGCUC